This 698-nucleotide ribosomal RNA is filed under the name bacterium Pv95. Its description in RNAcentral is "bacterial SSU rRNA". It matches the Rfam family "Bacterial small subunit ribosomal RNA", at positions 80 to 792 of the family's 1533-position model. The record is from RNAcentral.
UUCGGGGGUGCUCGAGUGGCGAACGGGUGAGUAACACGUGGGUGAUCUGCCCUGCACUUUGGGAUAAGCCUGGGAAACUGGGUCUAAUACCGAAUAGGACUCCGGACUGCAUGGUCUGGGGUGGAAAGCUUUUGCGGUGUGGGAUGGGCCCGCGGCCUAUCAGCUUGUUGGUGGGGUGAUGGCCUACCAAGGCGACGACGGGUAGCCGGCCUGAGAGGGUGUCCGGCCACACUGGGACUGAGAUACGGCCCAGACUCCUACGGGAGGCAGCAGUGGGGAAUAUUGCACAAUGGGCGCAAGCCUGAUGCAGCGACGCCGCGUGAGGGAUGACGGCCUUCGGGUUGUAAACCUCUUUCGCCAGGGACGAAGCGCAAGUGACGGUACCUGGAGAAGAAGCACCGGCCAACUACGUGCCAGCAGCCGCGGUAAUACGUAGGGUGCGAGCGUUGUCCGGAAUUACUGGGCGUAAAGAGCUCGUAGGUGGUUUGUCGCGUUGUUCGUGAAAACUCACAGCUUAACUGUGGGCGUGCGGGCGAUACGGGCAGACUGGAGUACUGCAGGGGAGACUGGAAUUCCUGGUGUAGCGGUGGAAUGCGCAGAUAUCAGGAGGAACACCGGUGGCGAAGGCGGGUCUCUGGGCAGUAACUGACGCUGAGGAGCGAAAGCGUGGGGAGCGAACAGGAUUAGAUACCCUGGUA